Dromiciops gliroides (monito del monte) is the source of this 309-nucleotide long non-coding RNA. RefSeq lists it as uncharacterized. The record is from RefSeq and is a predicted model, not a curated record. The transcript has 3 exons. NCBI's taxonomy places the organism in Eukaryota, Metazoa, Chordata, Mammalia, Microbiotheria, Microbiotheriidae.
CCCAGCUCAAACUAUCUGAAGUGUCUCAUGAGAGCUAAUUAUAUAAAUCUUCAAUACAGUCAUUCUGAUGCACAGAUUUGCUUCCUGCCAUUACAUGACAAAGCGCAGUCAGGAUGACGAACCAAAUCUUGCAUUAAGGCGUUUUUAUGGGGAAAAGGCAAGCAGAGACAUUAUUCACCAGGAGGGCACUUUGUAAAGUCAAAACAAUGGCGUCUGGUCCAUCUAAUUUUCCAGAGGUUCCCAUGGAUCUAAGGUCACUUGGAAGAAUUUCCUGGCACUUAAAAGGGUCUACUUCGGCAACUUAUUUAA